GAUAACUACUGGAAACGGUAGCUAAUACCGCAUAACGUCGCAAGACCAAAGAGGGGGACCUUCGGGCCUCUUGCCAUCAGAUGUGCCCAGAUGGGAUUAGCUAGUAGGUGGGGUAAUGGCUCACCUAGGCGACGAUCCCUAGCUGGUCUGAGAGGAUGACCAGCCACACUGGAACUGAGACACGGUCCAGACUCCUACGGGAGGCAGCAGUGGGGAAUAUUGCACAAUGGGCGCAAGCCUGAUGCAGCCAUGCCGCGUGUGUGAAGAAGGCCUUCGGGUUGUAAAGCACUUUCAGCGAGGAGGAAGGUGGUGAGCUUAAUACGCUCAUCAAUUGACGUUACUCGCAGAAGAAGCACCGGCUAACUCCGUGCCAGCAGCCGCGGUAAUACGGAGGGUGCAAGCGUUAA
Molecule: ribosomal RNA, 407 nt
Filed under: Serratia nematodiphila
Lineage: Bacteria; Pseudomonadati; Pseudomonadota; Gammaproteobacteria; Enterobacterales; Yersiniaceae
Description: bacterial SSU rRNA
Rfam family: Bacterial small subunit ribosomal RNA
Source: RNAcentral